GAUGAACGCUGGCGGUAUGCUUAACACAUGCAAGUCGAACGGUCACUUCGGUGAUAGUGGCGGACGGGUGAGUAACGCGUGAGAAUCUGUCUUCAGGUCGGGGACAACAGUUAGAAAUGACUGCUAAUACCGGAUGUGCCGAGAGGUAAAAGAUUUAUUGCCUGAAAGAGAGCUCGCGUCAGAUUAGCUAGUAGGUGGUGUAAGAGACUACCUAGGCGACGAUCUGUAGCUGGUCUGAGAGGACGAUCAGCCACACUGGAACUGAGACGCGGUCCAGACUCCUACGGGAGGCAGCAGUGGGGAAUUUUCCGCAAUGGGCGAAAGCCUGACGGAGCAAUACCGCGUGAGGGACGAAGGCUUUUUGGGUCGUAAACCUCUUUUAUUAGGGGAAGAUUUCAGGACGGUACCUAAUGAAUAAGCAUCGGCUAACUCUGUGCCAGCAGCCGCGGUAAU
This 453-nucleotide ribosomal RNA is filed under the name uncultured cyanobacterium. RNAcentral describes it as "bacterial SSU rRNA". It matches the Rfam family "Bacterial small subunit ribosomal RNA", at positions 28 to 524 of the family's 1533-position model. Lineage: Bacteria; Bacillati; Cyanobacteriota. The record is from RNAcentral.